UCCAAAAGAAGUAAUGCAUUUGAGAAGGAGC
This 31-nucleotide non-coding RNA is filed under the name Rattus norvegicus (Norway rat). The record is from RNAcentral. Lineage: Eukaryota; Metazoa; Chordata; Mammalia; Rodentia; Muridae.